ACCUCCGGACUGGGGUUCGCAAGCUUCACGGCGAACGUACCUCGGGAAGUUGGUUAAACCUCACUAUUUGGAGGAAGGUGAAGUCGUAACAAGGUCUCCGUAGGUGAACCUGCAGAAGGAUC
RNAcentral lists this ribosomal RNA (122 nucleotides) under Aureococcus anophagefferens. RNAcentral's name for it is "partial small subunit ribosomal RNA". It matches the Rfam family "Eukaryotic small subunit ribosomal RNA", at positions 1706 to 1827 of the family's 1831-position model. The record is from RNAcentral. Lineage: Eukaryota; Pelagophyceae; Pelagomonadales; Pelagomonadaceae.